GACGAACGCUGGCGGCGUGCUUAACACAUGCAAGUCGAACGGAAAGGCCCUGCUUGCAGGGUACUCGAGUGGCGAACGGGUGAGUAACACGUGGGUGAUCUGCCCUGCACUUCGGGAUAAGCCUGGGAAACUGGGUCUAAUACCGGAUAGGAGCCAUUUUUAGUGUGAUGGUUGGAAAGUUUUUUUCGGUGUAGGAUGAGCUCGCGGCCUAUCAGCUUGUUGGUGGGGUAAUGGCCUACCAAGGCGGCGACGGGUAGCCGGCCUGAGAGGGUGGACGGCCACAUUGGGACUGAGGUACGGCCCAGACUCCUACGGGAGGCAACGGUGGGGAAUAUUGCACAAUGGGCGCACGCCUGAGGCAGCGACGCCGCGUGGGGGAUGACGGCCUUCGGGUUGUAAACUCCUUUCGCUGGGGACGAAGCUUUUUGUGACGGUACCUGGAUAAGAAGCACCGGCUAACUACGUG
RNAcentral lists this ribosomal RNA (466 nucleotides) under uncultured bacterium. Its description in RNAcentral is "partial 16S ribosomal RNA". It matches the Rfam family "Bacterial small subunit ribosomal RNA", at positions 28 to 507 of the family's 1533-position model. The record is from RNAcentral.